Molecule: ribosomal RNA, 1273 nt
Filed under: Triticum aestivum (bread wheat)
Lineage: Eukaryota; Viridiplantae; Streptophyta; Magnoliopsida; Poales; Poaceae
Description: partial small subunit ribosomal RNA
Source: RNAcentral
CAUUACAAGACCGCCACUGUAGAGUCGGACAGUCGGUGUAUAAGGUUGUUGACGCUACUGAACACAAGAUGUGUCUUUUUUUAGGUACAUCGCUCUCCGAUCUUGAGUGACACGUUAGAAACCGUUCGGUGUGUCUUGAGUGUCUUCGUUACUUUCCCUCGGAGACGGUACUCAAGCUCUGUCCGGAGGGGCGUCGGCUACAUACCCUCUAGAUACCUCCGGAGGCAUAACCGGUCAACCAGGGACUUAACGAAGGGGUAUACGAGUUUUUCCAGCUCGAACAGCUACCUCUACCGCCGCAGCCUUGUCAAAACGUAGAGUGGAUGAGAGGACCUUAAGGACCCAAGUUUAUAGUUUUUCUUUUCAAGUAGUUUUAACUAUUACUUUUGAUACAGUUUCUCCGUGAUCAUCAUCUUCCUCCGCAAGAUGUAGUACCUAAAGUCUUUACAAACCAGGCUAAACUCUAAUAUCCCGUUUGUUUACUCUGUAGAUGUUAUUCUAGUUGGUAACUUAUACUUUAACUACUGCUGUUCUGCCUAUUGCGUAGGAAGCAGUCAUGGUCACCACACCGAAAAUAACGACUUCGGUAGUGGUUCAUAUAGUUCCGUGUCUUUUCGCGACUAGUUCGAGUAGUUCUUUGCAAUCGAGUAUCUUCGUUACUUUCCAUCGGAAACGGUACUGAAGCUCUGUCCGGAGGGGCGCCGCCUCCAUACCCUCUACAUAGCUCCAGAGCCAUAAUCGGUCCAUCAAGGAGUUAACGAAGGGCUAUAGAAGUUUUUCCGGUUCGAACAACUUCCUCUACCGCCACAGCCCUGUCAAAACGUAGAGUGGAAAAGAGUACCCCAACGAGGUAAUCUUAUAGUUUUCCUUUUCAAGUAGUUCUAACUGGUACUUUUGAUACAGUUCCUCCGUUAUUAUCAUCUUCCUCCGGAAGACCUAGUACCUAAAGUCUUUAUAAACUACUCUUAACUCUAAUAUCCCGUUUGGUUAUUUUGUAGAUGUUAUUCCAGUUGGUAACUUAUACUUCAACUACUGCUGUUCAGUCCGUUGUGUAGGAAACAGUCAUGGUCACGUGAUCGAACGGAGCGACUUCGUUAGUGUCUCAUAUAGUUCCGUGUCUUUUCGCGACUCGUUCGAGCACUUCUUUACGGCAUUCUUGUUUCGUAGGGAAGCGACUCCGUGAUAGAACAAUAAGUGACAUAGUGUCAAAUAUAAAGAACCUACUAAUAUACUACAACAACGGUAAACGGCAGUACGUAUCGGUUCAUAACGC